Non-coding RNA from Plutella xylostella (diamondback moth), 1204 nucleotides. The record is from RefSeq and is a predicted model, not a curated record. Lineage: Eukaryota; Metazoa; Arthropoda; Insecta; Lepidoptera; Plutellidae.
AAGACCUGUAGGCCUACUCUUGGCACGCAAGACGUAAAUUCAUAUUGUGUUAAGAUCGAACACAAGUUUAUGGCAAUUUCAAGUUAGAUUUGGCACUCCCGACAUGAAUUGGCUCACGAUCGUGUUCUAAUUCGAAUUGGUUCUAACUUGUGUUGGAUUGUGAGUCAAUUUUGACAGUUACUCUGUGAAAGAAUGAAUGAAAACGAAAAAAAAAACAAAUUGUCAUUAAAAUUCUUGUUGUCAUGGCCGGUCGGUGGAUUUUCAUAAUAAGUAACAACGUAAAAAGUUUAAAAACCAAUAUUAUGGUAAGUUGUUCAGUUACCAAACGUGUUAGAAUCAUCUGUAUAUCCACUAUGAUCAUUAUAAUGAACCUAGUUUUUCCCCACAGAGUUUCGCAACUCGGCCGUCGUACCGCCAGACGAAAUUACUUGUAGAAUAUCUAGAAAGUUACCCAGGAAUGGCCAGGGAUCUUCUUAAGACCGACCUAGGGAAGUUAAAAUUAUGAGAAAAUAACAUCAAUGGCCUCGACCUUAAAUGCGGUCGAAGGGUCUUGAUAAGAUAGACGUAACGUAAAACUGAGGACUGCUGUGGUAAAUGGCAGGAUCAUAACAUACUUAAAGUCGAGGUGCAUCAUACCCAGGCCUAAACUAUCAAGCCGCUCAGCUCAUCCUCACAGCACCUCACAGCAUAGAUCCAGCCGCCGCUACCAAGUUGCUGUAGAAGUAGACAGAGUGAUGGCCAUAGAGGAAAAGCAGGGAGAGGCUGAACUGCUGACAGCAUGGGCUAAUGCCCUAAAGCCUAAAGGGGACCUUGCAGCAGCUGCCCGUGAUGGAGUCAAUAUCCUCAUAGAAAUUGCGCAACAGUUAUCAAGAAAUACAAAGUUAAGGGCAUCUAGACCCAUAACCAUCGUCACUAGUUAUGGGUCCAGAUGCUGUUGUGCAGUAGUGGAUGAUGUGAUGAUUUAAGUAGAAAUUUAUAUUUCCUGUGACUAAAAUAUUAUUUUAUAUUAGGUAAUACCUAUGUUGAUUUAAAUAUAUGAACAUUUUUGUUUUAAGAAAUGUUGAAUAAUAUUAGAAAAAGUGUUCCUAUGUUAAUAUGUCCCUUAUAUAUUAUAAGUUUGUAAGUAUUUCAACAGUGGUGGUGAAAUUAUUAUUCUACAAAAGUAUGUCGGUAUUAUUAUAAAGAUAAAGAAUUCUGAAACUUA